This 253-nucleotide ribosomal RNA is filed under the name uncultured bacterium. Its description in RNAcentral is "partial 16S ribosomal RNA". It matches the Rfam family "Bacterial small subunit ribosomal RNA", at positions 524 to 776 of the family's 1533-position model. The record is from RNAcentral.
UACAGAGGUCCCAAGCGUUAUUCGGAAUCACUGGGCUUACAGGGUGCGUAGGCGGCUUGUUAAGUAGGGUGUGAAAGCCCCCGGCUCAACCGGGGAAUGGCGCCCUAAACUGGCGAGCUGGAGUGAGAUAGGGGUGUGCGGAACUUCCGGUGGAGCGGUGAAAUGUGUUGAUAUCGGAAGGAACGCCGGUGGCGAAAGCGGCACACUGGAUCUCAACUGACGCUGAGGCACGAAAGCCAGGGGAGCGAACGGG